GGACGAACGCUGGCGGCGUGCCUAACACAUGCAAGUCGAGCGGGGACAUUGCGACGGAGACGAAGUACUCGUACGGAGUCAAAGAUGUAAUGUUCUAGCGGCGGACGGGUGAGUAACGCGUGAGCAACCUGUCCCUUACAGGGGGAUAACACAGCGAAAGUUGUACUAAUACCGCAUAAGACCACAGGAUGACAUCGUCCAGGGGUCAAAGGAGCAAUCCGGUAAGGGGUGGGCUCGCGUCCGAUUAGAUAGUUGGUGAGGUAACGGCCCACCAAGUCGACGAUCGGUAGCCGACCUGAGAGGGUGAUCGGCCACAUUGGGACUGAGACACGGCCCAAACUCCUACGGGAGGCAGCAGUGGGGAAUAUUGGGCAAUGGGGGAAACCCUGACCCAGCAACGCCGCGUGAGGGAAGAAGGUUUUCGGAUCGUAAACCUCUGUCCCAGGUGAAGAGGAAGAGACGGUAGCCUGGGAGGAAGCCCCGGCUAACUACGUGCCAGCAGCUGC
This 506-nucleotide ribosomal RNA is filed under the name uncultured bacterium. RNAcentral's name for it is "bacterial SSU rRNA". It matches the Rfam family "Bacterial small subunit ribosomal RNA", at positions 27 to 518 of the family's 1533-position model. The record is from RNAcentral.